Molecule: ribosomal RNA, 1236 nt
Filed under: metagenome
Description: bacterial LSU rRNA
Rfam family: Bacterial large subunit ribosomal RNA
Source: RNAcentral
UGAAUACGAGACGCUAAGGCGUCGAAGUAGUGUAUGUCAUACUUCCAAGAAAAGCUUGCACUGUCAUAGAUAAAAAACGCCUGUACCAUAACCGACACAGGUGGGUAGGUAGAGUAUACUAAGGGGCGCGAGAUAACUCUCUCUAAGGAACUCGGCAAAAUAACUCCGUAACUUCGGGAGAAGGAGUGCCUUAUUCGUAAGGUUGCAAUAACAAGAUCCAAGCAACUGUUUAUCAAAAACACAGGUCUCCGCUAAGUCGUAAGACGAUGUAUGGGGGCUGACGCCUGCCCAGUGCCAGAAGGUUAAAGAAGUUGGUUAGCAAUUGCGAAACUGAUAACUGAAGCCCUUGUGAACGGCGGCCGUAACUAUAACGGUCCUAAGGUAGCGAAAUUCCUUGUCGGGUAAGUUCCGACCCGCACGAAAGGCGUAAUGAUUUGGAUACUGUCUCGGAGAGGGGCUCGGUGAAAUAGACUUGUCUGUGAAGAUGCGGACUACCUGCACCAGGACAGAAAGACCCUAUGAAGCUUUACUGUAACUUGAAAUUGAAAUUGGACUUUAUUCGCGCAGUAUAGGUGGGAGGCGUUGAUUAUAAUCUUGUGGGAUUAUUGGAGCCAUCAGUGAGAUACCACUCUUGUAAUGUUAGAUUUCUAACUUUGAAUCAUUAUCUGGUCAAAGAACAGUUUCAGGCGGGCAGUUUGACUGGGGCGGUCGCCUCCUAAACGGUAACGGAGGCGUACAAAAGUUUUCCUCUGAACGGUUAGAAAUCGUAUCUAGAGUGUAAAGGCAUAAGGAAGCUUGACUGUGAGACCUACAAGUCGAGCAGGGACGAGAGUCGGUCUUAGUGAUCUGACGGUACUGAGUGGAAAGGCCGUCACUCAACGGAUAAAAGUUACUCUAAGGAUAACAGGCUGAUCUCCCCCAAGAGUUCACAUCGACGGGGAGGUUUGGCACCUCGAUGUCGGCUCAUCGCAUCCUGGGGCGGUAGUACGUCCCAAGGGUUGGGCUGUUCGCCCAUGAAAGCGGUACGCGAGCUGGGUUCAGAACGUCGUGAGACAGUUCGGUCCAUAUCCGGUGUAGGCGUUAGAAUAUUGAGAGGAGCCUUCUUUAGUACGAGAGGACCGAGAAGGACAUACCUCUGGUGUACCAGUUAUCGUGCCAACGGUAAACGCUGGGUAGCCAUGUAUGGAGUGGAUAACCGCUGAAAGCAUCUAAGUGGGAAGCCCACCUCAAGAUAAG